This 497-nucleotide ribosomal RNA is filed under the name uncultured bacterium. RNAcentral's name for it is "partial 16S ribosomal RNA". It matches the Rfam family "Bacterial small subunit ribosomal RNA", at positions 28 to 507 of the family's 1533-position model. The record is from RNAcentral.
GAUGAACGCUGGCGGCGUGCCUAAUACAUGCAAGUCGAGCGAACAGACGAGGAGCUUGCUCCUUCGACGUUAGCGGCGGACGGGUGAGUAACACGUAGGUAACCUACCUAUAAGACUGGGAUAACUUCGGGAAACCGGAGCUAAUACCGGAUAAUAUUUCGAACCGCAUGGUUCGAUAGUGAAAGAUGGCUUUGCUAUCACUUAUAGAUGGACCUGCGCCGUAUUAGCUAGUUGGUAAGGUAACGGCUUACCAAGGCAACGAUACGUAGCCGACCUGAGAGGGUGAUCGGCCACACUGGAACUGAGACACGGUCCAGACUCCUACGGGAGGCAGCAGUAGGGAAUCUUCCGCAAUGGGCGAAAGCCUGACGGAGCAACGCCGCGUGAGUGAUGAAGGUCUUCGGAUCGUAAAACUCUGUUAUUAGGGAAGAACAGACGUGUAAGUAACUGUGCACGUCUUGACGGUACCUAAUCAGAAAGCCACGGCUAACUACGUG